GAUGAACGCUGGCGGCGUGCCUAAUACAUGCAAGUCGAGCGAACAGACGAGGAGCUUGCUCCUCUGACGUUAGCGGCGGACGGGUGAGUAACACGUGGAUAACCUACCUAUAAGACUGGGAUAACUUCGGGAAACCGGAGCUAAUACCGGAUAAUAUAUUGAACCGCAUGGUUCAAUAGUGAAAGACGGUUUUGCUGUCACUUAUAGAUGGAUCCGCGCCGCAUUAGCUAGUUGGUAAGGUAACGGCUUACCAAGGCAACGAUGCGUAGCCGACCUGAGAGGGUGAUCGGCCACACUGGAACCGAGACAAGGUCCAGACUCCUACGGGAGGCCGCAGGAGGGAAUCUUCCGGAAUGGGCGAAAGCCUGACGGAGCAACGCCGCGUGAGUGAUGAAGGUCUUCGGAUCGUAAAACUCUGUUAUUAGGGAAGAACAAAUGUGUAAGUAACUAUGCACGUCUUGACGGUACCUAAUCAGAAAGCCACGGCUAACUACGUG
RNAcentral lists this ribosomal RNA (497 nucleotides) under uncultured bacterium. RNAcentral describes it as "partial 16S ribosomal RNA". It matches the Rfam family "Bacterial small subunit ribosomal RNA", at positions 28 to 507 of the family's 1533-position model. The record is from RNAcentral.